AGCUGGUUUUUCAACCAAUUCCCAUGUGUGGUUCUUCUCAAUCAUUCUGAUCUCCUCCUUCAUUGCAAGUUGCCAUUCUUUCUCCUGAGCUGCUUGUUCAAAACUGCCCGGUUCAUGAACUGCAAUAAGGCAUCUUUCACAAAGUUCAGCUUCAGAACAAGUUUCAUAAAUCUCUGAUAGUGACUUUGUCUUCAAUAUUGGAGAUUCUGAUGAUGAUGAUUCACCACUCCUU
Molecule: long non-coding RNA, 232 nt
Filed under: Nicotiana benthamiana
Lineage: Eukaryota; Viridiplantae; Streptophyta; Magnoliopsida; Solanales; Solanaceae
Description: long non-coding RNA (NBEN_LNC025422)
Source: RNAcentral